AACAACCGGGAUUGCUUAGUAACGGCGAGUGAAGCGGCAAAAGCUCAAAUUUGAAAUCUGGUACCUUUGGUGCCCGAGUUGUAAUUUGGAGAGGGCAACUUUGGGACCGUUCCUUGUCUAUGUUCCUUGGAACAGGACGUCAUAGAGGGUGAGAAUCCCGUGUGGCGAGGAGUGCGGUUCUAUGUAAAGUGCCUUCGAAGAGUCGAGUUGUUUGGGAAUGCAGCUCUAAGUGGGUGGUAAAUUCCAUCUAAAGCUAAAUAUUGGCGAGAGACCGAUAGCGAACAAGUACAGUGAUGGAAAGAUGAAAAGAACUUUGAAAAGAGAGUGAAAAAGUACGUGAAAUUGUUGAAAGGGAAGGGCAUUUGAUCAGACAUGGUGUUUUGCGCCCUCUGCUCCUUGUGGGUGGGGGAAUCUCGCAGUUCACUGGGCCAGCAUCAGUUUUGGUGGCAGGAUAAAUCCGUAGGAAUGUAACUUGCUUCGGGAAGUAUUAUAGCCUAUGGGAAUACUGCCAGCUGGGACUGAGGACUGCGACGUAAGUCAAGGAUGCUGGCAUAAUGGUUAUAUGC
This 566-nucleotide ribosomal RNA is filed under the name Saccharomyces cf. bayanus/pastorianus. Its description in RNAcentral is "LSU rRNA". It matches the Rfam family "Eukaryotic large subunit ribosomal RNA", at positions 64 to 645 of the family's 3401-position model. Lineage: Eukaryota; Fungi; Ascomycota; Saccharomycetes; Saccharomycetales; Saccharomycetaceae. The record is from RNAcentral.